This 589-nucleotide ribosomal RNA is filed under the name Bacillus subtilis. Its description in RNAcentral is "bacterial SSU rRNA". It matches the Rfam family "Bacterial small subunit ribosomal RNA", at positions 35 to 605 of the family's 1533-position model. The record is from RNAcentral. Lineage: Bacteria; Bacillati; Bacillota; Bacilli; Caryophanales; Bacillaceae.
GCCGGGGCGGGGGUGCUAUACAUGCAAGUCGAGCGGACAGAUGGGAGCUUGCUCCCUGAUGUUAGCGGCGGACGGGUGAGUAACACGUGGGUAACCUGCCUGUAAGACUGGGAUAACUCCGGGAAACCGGGGCUAAUACCGGAUGGUUGUUUGAACCGCAUGGUUCAAACAUAAAAGGUGGCUUCGGCUACCACUUACAGAUGGACCCGCGGCGCAUUAGCUAGUUGGUGAGGUAACGGCUCACCAAGGCAACGAUGCGUAGCCGACCUGAGAGGGUGAUCGGCCACACUGGGACUGAGACACGGCCCAGACUCCUACGGGAGGCAGCAGUAGGGAAUCUUCCGCAAUGGACGAAAGUCUGACGGAGCAACGCCGCGUGAGUGAUGAAGGUUUUCGGAUCGUAAAGCUCUGUUGUUAGGGAAGAACAAGUACCGUUCGAAUAGGGCGGUACCUUGACGGUACCUAACCAGAAAGCCACGGCUAACUACGUGCCAGCAGCCGCGGUAAUACGUAGGUGGCAAGCGUUGUCCGGAAUUAUUGGGCGUAAAGGGCUCGCAGGCGGUUUCUUAAGUCUGAUGUGAAAGCCCCC